Molecule: long non-coding RNA, 770 nt
Organism: Helianthus annuus (common sunflower)
Lineage: Eukaryota; Viridiplantae; Streptophyta; Magnoliopsida; Asterales; Asteraceae
Exons: 3
Source: RefSeq, a predicted model, not a curated record
CAGUAACAACCAGUUCAAUGACCCAUUUCCAAUUGUGACCUUACAAAUCCCAAAUCCUUUCUCUCCCACCUAUUUGAAUUGUUAAGGCCACCUGGUUUCAGUCUCAAGUUUCUGGUCAUCAACCAUUGGUUAUGCCCCUACAAAGAAAACAACAAUUCUAUGAGCUUAUGGACAAACUCUAUGCUCUUUGUGAUGCUAUAGUUUUUUUAUUUUUAACCAGAACAUCUAAAUGGUGCAGUGGCCUUAUGGUUUGAAUGAAUUGAAGUCUCAUUCUUUGCCCCACAUGAUAACUAUUCUUUUUGUUUUACUGAAUCAUAGCUUCAGUUGCAAAGAAAUGAAGUAAUAACACCGAUGAUGAAUCUGCUCAAGCGUCUCUCGGAAUCACUUAUAUCAAUCACUCACUGAUAUGGCUUCUUCUUCUGCUAUGGACGAGUUGGUUUUACAAAACUCUGCCAAUGUGGUCGGUUUGAUUCAAAGACUACGGGAUUCAUGGAUAGCACAAUGGAAAAACCUUUUUCCCAAAAAAAGGAGGAACUGCAGCCUAAUGGAUGUAGUGGGUGACAAAGUUGGUGAUCCGCUUCAGGAGGUUGCAAUAAAGGGGAUAUAGUUGACUUAUAAAUCUUGGACUUAGAAAUAUGAUGAGAAGACCAUGUUUAACAAGUAAUUUAGUCAUCAUUCAUUUAUCAUAUUAUAUGGUUUCAUUUACUAGAAAUUAACGAAACUUGUAACACAUUUUCUCCAUACUGUUUGUUUGCAGGGGAGGUUAGUAU